CUUAGGUAUUGCUUAACAAGGACGAGGGUUAGAAAAAGGAGUUGGAUGGCGCGGCUUGAACCUGAGUUGCAAAAAUAACACUUGCAAAAAUAAAUACUGCUGCACACAUGCUUUCAUGAUUUUUCUUCCUUCCCAAGGGGGAAAGGAAGGCCAGAAGAAUUUGAGGCAAACAAGUUACCUUGGAAGAAAGCAACAUACAGAUGAGAAUCAGCCAGGGUUCUGAAGAUUGGGCAGAGCAGAGGAACACCCCCUCCCUGCAACCACCACGAGUUUGUCUUGGAGCAGCCAGAUUAACAGGAGAUGAUAAAGAUGAGGUCAGCACUCUGGUCAUUGGAGAAAGCGUGUCAUUAAAGGUUUCUGAAGCCAAAGUAGGAGUGAGGAGGCUGAAUAGAAGACUCUGAUAGCCUGGAGGAAUAAGAAGCCACAGGUGGAAUGAACGAGAGUUCUGAGGACUGGGCAGAGCAGAAAAUCUCCCCCUCACCCCUACCACUGACUCACUGUCACCUGAACAACAAAUACGCUCUUACUGGCCUAUGCCACUAACUUUUGUGCUUGUGGAAGUACUGAACCAAUCUUGAUAAAGUAUAAAGCUGGAGGAGAAAGAAGGUAAGGCUGGUCUGUUUAGGGGCCUGAAAUGGAAGAUUAAAGAAUGUUACUUUCUUUUAAGAAAAAUGGGCUGCUGCAGUCUGCUGAGCAAGAGAGGGGCCUAGUGUUCCAUCAAAACUGCACCCUGGCCUGUGAGAGGGAUUAGAAGGAUCAAGGCUGGUGACUAGAGGUGCUAGAGUAGUAGGAGGCUAUCAUCAUCAUGCAAGGGGGAAGAAGGAGGCCUGGACAGAGAUGGCAGGAGAAAUGGGCUUGAAAGAUGAGAUAGCCAAGAGGCUGAGUGGGAAGGGUCUGCAGAGCAUGGUAUCUGACAAGAUGUGGAGGAUGAGGGAAAGCUUGGAGGGCCAUCGCAAUGGCUUGAAUGUGUUCCCCAAGACAUUAUGUAUUAGAAACUUACUCUCCAGUGCAACAGUUCUGGGACACGGGGCUUAGUGAGAGGUGAUUAGGCCAUGAUGGCUCUGCCCUCAUAAAUGGAUUAAUGCUGUUAUCACAGAAGCAGGUUUGUUAUUGCAGGAG
This 1119-nucleotide long non-coding RNA is filed under the name Macaca mulatta (Rhesus monkey). Its description in RNAcentral is "lncRNA (ENSMMUG00000058218.1)". The record is from RNAcentral. Lineage: Eukaryota; Metazoa; Chordata; Mammalia; Primates; Cercopithecidae.